AGAAUAGUUAAAAUUAUGAUGUAUAAUUCGCAAGAUUUUAUGGUAUUAUUAAAAAUUAUAAAUUUAUUACAAUUAAUAAUUAUUAAACUAAUAUAUUGUUAAGAAAUAAGCACUAUAUAUAACAGUGAAUUGUAUACAGUUUCUAUAAAGUAAAAAUGUAUUCUGGAUAGAAUUUUCAAUGAAAAUCACAUAACGAAUAAAACUUGCAGAGAUUUGAUCGCAUCAAGCAAAGGUGUCGGUGCGGAUGCUCGGGGAUUAUUCCGGAGCCGCGCAGUCGGUCGUCCCGGUUGUCAACGUUCUCGUGAGUAUUCGUGGCUCAACGGUGGUGGUGACGGUGGCGACGGACGUUGGUGCAACGACGGUGGUGCAGCCAAGAUGGCGUUCGCUGAGCGGAGUACGCCGUCGGGUAGCAGGAGCGCGUGAAGAGGAAAAAAAAAA
This is a long non-coding RNA of Pogonomyrmex barbatus (red harvester ant), 438 nucleotides long. NCBI's taxonomy places the organism in Eukaryota, Metazoa, Arthropoda, Insecta, Hymenoptera, Formicidae. The record is from RefSeq and is a predicted model, not a curated record.